AUUGAACGCUGGCGGCAUGCCUUACACAUGCAAGUCGAACGGUAACAGGUUAAGCUGACGAGUGGCGAACGGGUGAGUAAUGUAUCGGAACGUGCCCAGUCGUGAGGGAUAACUGCUCGAAAGAGCAGCUAAUACCGCAUACGACCUGAGGGUGAAAGCGGGGGAUCGCAAGACCUCGCGCGAUUGGAGCGGCCGAUAUCAGAUUAGGUAGUUGGUGAGGUAAAGGCUCACCAAGCCGACGAUCUGUAGCUGGUCUGAGAGGACGACCAGCCACACUGGGACUGAGACACGGCCCAGACUCCUACGGGAGGCAGCAGUGGGGAAUUUUGGACAAUGGGCGCAAGCCUGAUCCAGCCAUGCCGCGUGCGGGAAGAAGGCCUUCGGGUUGUAAACCGCUUUUGUCAGGGAAGAAAAGGUUCUGGCUAAUACCUGGGACUCAUGACGGUACCUGAAGAAUAAGCACCGGCUAACUACGUG
Molecule: ribosomal RNA, 477 nt
Filed under: uncultured bacterium
Lineage: Bacteria
Description: partial 16S ribosomal RNA
Rfam family: Bacterial small subunit ribosomal RNA
Source: RNAcentral